RNAcentral lists this ribosomal RNA (1441 nucleotides) under uncultured Bordetella sp. RNAcentral describes it as "partial 16S-23S ribosomal RNA intergenic spacer". It matches the Rfam family "Bacterial small subunit ribosomal RNA". The record is from RNAcentral. Lineage: Bacteria; Pseudomonadati; Pseudomonadota; Betaproteobacteria; Burkholderiales; Alcaligenaceae.
AGUCGAAUGGCAGCACGGACUUCGGUCUGGUGGCGAGUGCGGCGAACGGGUAGUAAUGUAUCGGAACGUGCCUAGUAGCGGGGAUAACUACGCGAAAGCGUAGCUAAUACCGCACAUGCCCUUCGGGGGAAAGCGGGGACCUUCGGGCCUCGCACUAUUAGAGCGGCCGAUAUCGGAUUAGCUAGUUGGUGGGGUAACGGGCUCACUGGUUGGCGACAUCCGUAGCUGGUUUGAGGACGUGACCAGCCACAUCGGGACUGAGACACGGCCCAGACUCCACGGAGGCAGCAGUGGGGAAUUCGGACAAUGGGGAAACCCUGAUCCAGCCAUCCCGCGUGUGCGAUGAAGGCUCUUUGGGUUGGAAAGCACUUUUGCAGGAAAAGAAACGGCACGGGAUAAUACCCCGUGCACCGACGGUACCUUGCAGAAUAAGCACCGGCUAAUCAUGUGCCAGCAGCCGCGGUAAUAGUAGGUGCAAGCGUUAACGGAAUUCAUUGGGCGUAAAGCGUGCGCAGGCGGUUCGGAAAAAGAAAGAUGUGAAAUCCCAGAGCUUAACUUUGGAACUGCAUUUUUAACUACCGAGCUAGAGUGCAAGUCAGAGGGAGUGGAAUUCCCGCGUGUAGCAGUGAAAUGCGUAGAUAUGCGGAGGAACACCGAUGGCGAAGGCAGCCUCCUGGGAUAACACCGACGCUCAUGCACGCGUGGGGAGCAAACAGGAUUAGAUACCCUGGUAGUCCACGCCCUAAACGAUGUCAACUAUUGUUGGGGCCUUCGGGCCUUGGUAGCGUGGAAGCACUGCAGUGAAGUUGACCGCCUGGGAGCAAUGGUCGCAAGAUUAAAACUCAAAAGGAAUUCGACGGGGACCCGCACAAGCGGUGGAUGAUGUGGAUUAAUUCGAUGCAACGCGAAAAACCUUACCUACCCUUGACAUGUCUGAAUCCCGAAGAGAUUUGGGAGUGUUUGGCAAGAGAACCGGAACACAGUGCUGCAUGUCUGUCGUCAGCUCGUGUCGUGAGAUGUUGGGUUAAGUCCCGCAACGAGCGCAACCCUUGUCAUUAGUUGCUGUUUUUGGUGACACUGACGAGACUGCCGGUGACAACCGAGGAAGGUGGGGAUGACGUCAAGUCCUCAUGGCUCCCAUGGGUAGCUUCACAUCGCUCACAAUGGCUUCGGGACGAGGGUCGCCAACCCGCGAGGGGGAGCCAAUCCCAGAAACCCGAUCGUAGUCCGGAUCGCAGUCUGCAACUCGGACUGCGUGAAGGUCGGAAUUGCCAGUAAUCGCGGAUCAGCAUGUCGCGGUGAAUACGUUCCCGGGGUCUUGUACACACCGCCCGUCACACCAUGGGAGUGGGUUUUACCAGAAGUAGUUAGCCUAACCGUAAGGAGGGUUACUACCACGUGGUAGGAUUCAUGACUGGGGUGAAGUCGUAACGUUGCAGCC